GUGGAAGCGCCGUCGCUCAACGGAUAAAAGGUACCCCGGGGAUAACAGGCUGAUCUUGCCCAAGAGUCCAUAUCGACGGCAUGGUUUGGCACCUCGAUGUCGGCUCGUCGCAUCCUGGGGCCGGAGCAGGUCCCAAGGGUUGGGCUGUUCGCCCAUUAAAGCGGCACGCGAGCUGGGUUUAGAACGUCGUGAGACAGUUCGGUCCCUAUCCGCUGCGCGCGCGGGAGACUUGAGGAGGCCUGUCCCCAGUACGAGAGGACCGGGACGGACGAACCUCUGGUGUGCCAGUUGUUCCGCCAGGAGCACGGCUGGUUGGCCACGUUCGGAAGGGAUAACCGCUGAAAGCAUCUAAGUGGGAAGCCCCCUCCAAGACCAGGUCUCCGACGACCGCCGGACCCUUGCACGCAAGCGGAGCCGGCCGUUGUGAAGGCCCCCGGCAGACCACCGGGUCGAUAGGCCAGACGUGGAAGCGCCGACUGAAGAGGCGUGGAGCUGACUGGUACUAAUAGGCCGAACACCCAACCAC
This 526-nucleotide ribosomal RNA is filed under the name Bifidobacteriaceae bacterium. RNAcentral's name for it is "partial 23S ribosomal RNA". It matches the Rfam family "Bacterial large subunit ribosomal RNA", at positions 2433 to 2925 of the family's 2925-position model. Lineage: Bacteria; Bacillati; Actinomycetota; Actinomycetes; Bifidobacteriales; Bifidobacteriaceae. The record is from RNAcentral.